GACGAACGCUGGCGGCGUGCCUAAUACAUGCAAGUAGAACGCUGAAGUCUGGUGCUUGCACUAGACGGAUGAGUUGCGAACGGGUGAGUAACGCGUAGGUAACCUGCCUCAUAGCGGGGGAUAACUAUUGGAAACGAUAGCUAAUACCGCAUAACAGUAUUUACCGCAUGGUAGAUGCUUGAAAGGAGCAAUUGCUUCACUAUGAGAUGGACCUGCGUUGUAUUAGCUAGUUGGUGAGGUAGCGCUCACGAGCAUCGAUACAUACGCGACCUGAGAGGGUGAUCGGCCACACUGGGACUGAGACACGGCCCAG
This 313-nucleotide ribosomal RNA is filed under the name uncultured bacterium. RNAcentral's name for it is "bacterial SSU rRNA". It matches the Rfam family "Bacterial small subunit ribosomal RNA", at positions 28 to 334 of the family's 1533-position model. The record is from RNAcentral.